GGUUAAGCGACUAAGCGUACACGGUGGAUGCCCUGGCAGUCAGAGGCGAUGAAGGACGUGCUAAUCUGCGAUAAGCGUCGGUAAGGUGAUAUGAACCGUUAUAACCGGCGAUUUCCGAAUGGGGAAACCCAGUGUGUUUCGACACACUAUCAUUAACUGAAUCCAUAGGUUAAUGAGGCGAACCGGGGGAACUGAAACAUCUAAGUACCCCGAGGAAAAGAAAUCAACCGAGAUUCCCCCAGUAGCGGCGAGCGAACGGGGAGCAGCCCAGAGCCUGAAUCAGUGUGUGUGUUAGUGGAAGCGUCUGGAAAGGCGCGCGAUACAGGGUGACAGCCCCGUACACAAAAAUGCACAUGCUGUGAGCUCGAUGAGUAGGGCGGGACACGUGGUAUCCUGUCUGAAUAUGGGGGGACCAUCCUCCAAGGCUAAAUACUCCUGACUGACCGAUAGUGAACCAGUACCGUGAGGGAAAGGCGAAAAGAACCCCGGCGAGGGGAGUGAAAAAGAACCUGAAACCGUGUACGUACAAGCAGUGGGAGCACGCUUCGGCGUGUGACUGCGUACCUUUUGUAUAAUGGGUCAGCGACUUAUAUUCUGUAGCAAGGUUAACCGAAUAGGGGAGCCGAAGGGAAACCGAGUCUUAACUGGGCGUUAAGUUGCAGGGUAUAGACCCGAAACCCGGUGAUCUAGCCAUGGGCAGGUUGAAGGUUGGGUAACACUAACUGGAGGACCGAACCGACUAAUGUUGAAAAAUUAGCGGAUGACUUGUGGCUGGGGGUGAAAGGCCAAUCAAACCGGGAGAUAGCUGGUUCUCCCCGAAAGCUAUUUAGGUAGCGCCUCGUGAAUUCAUCUCCGGGGGUAGAGCACUGUUUCGGCAAGGGGGUCAUCCCGACUUACCAACCCGAUGCAAACUGCGAAUACCGGAGAAUGUUAUCACGGGAGACACACGGCGGGUGCUAACGUCCGUCGUGAAGAGGGAAACAACCCAGACCGCCAGCUAAGGUCCCAAAGUCAUGGUUAAGUGGGAAACGAUGUGGGAAGGCCCAGACAGCCAGGAUGUUGGCUUAGAAGCAGCCAUCAUUUAAAGAAAGCGUAAUAGCUCACUGGUCGAGUCGGCCUGCGCGGAAGAUGUAACGGGGCUAAACCAUGCACCGAAGCUGCGGCAGCGACGCUUAUGCGUUGUUGGGUAGGGGAGCGUUCUGUAAGCCUGUGAAGGUAUGCUGUGAGGCAUGCUGGAGGUAUCAGAAGUGCGAAUGCUGACAUAAGUAACGAUAAAGCGGGUGAAAAGCCCGCUCGCCGGAAGACCAAGGGUUCCUGUCCAACGUUAAUCGGGGCAGGGUGAGUCGACCCCUAAGGCGAGGCCGAAAGGCGUAGUCGAUGGGAAACAGGUUAAUAUUCCUGUACUUGGUGUUACUGCGAAGGGGGGACGGAGAAGGCUAUGUUGGCCGGGCGACGGUUGUCCCGGUUUAAGCGUGUAGGCUGGUUUUCCAGGCAAAUCCGGAAAAUCAAGGCUGAGGCGUGAUGACGAGGCACUACGGUGCUGAAGCAACAAAUGCCCUGCUUCCAGGAAAAGCCUCUAAGCAUCAGGUAACAUCAAAUCGUACCCCAAACCGACACAGGUGGUCAGGUAGAGAAUACCAAGGCGCUUGAGAGAACUCGGGUGAAGGAACUAGGCAAAAUGGUGCCGUAACUUCGGGAGAAGGCACGCUGAUAUGUAGGUGAAGCGACUUGCUCGUGGAGCUGAAAUCAGUCGAAGAUACCAGCUGGCUGCAACUGUUUAUUAAAAACACAGCACUGUGCAAACACGAAAGUGGACGUAUACGGUGUGACGCCUGCCCGGUGCCGGAAGGUUAAUUGAUGGGGUCAGCGCAAGCGAAGCUCUUGAUCGAAGCCCCGGUAAACGGCGGCCGUAACUAUAACGGUCCUAAGGUAGCGAAAUUCCUUGUCGGGUAAGUUCCGACCUGCACGAAUGGCGUAAUGAUGGCCAGGCUGUCUCCACCCGAGACUCAGUGAAAUUGAACUCGCUGUGAAGAUGCAGUGUACCCGCGGCAAGACGGAAAGACCCCGUGAACCUUUACUAUAGCUUGACACUGAACAUUGAGCCUUGAUGUGUAGGAUAGGUGGGAGGCUUUGAAGUGUGGACGCCAGUCUGCAUGGAGCCGACCUUGAAAUACCACCCUUUAAUGUUUGAUGUUCUAACGUUGACCCGUAAUCCGGGUUGCGGACAGUGUCUGGUGGGUAGUUUGACUGGGGCGGUCUCCUCCUAAAGAGUAACGGAGGAGCACGAAGGUUGGCUAAUCCUGGUCGGACAUCAGGAGGUUAGUGCAAUGGCAUAAGCCAGCUUGACUGCGAGCGUGACGGCGCGAGCAGGUGCGAAAGCAGGUCAUAGUGAUCCGGUGGUUCUGAAUGGAAGGGCCAUCGCUCAACGGAUAAAAGGUACUCCGGGGAUAACAGGCUGAUACCGCCCAAGAGUUCAUAUCGACGGCGGUGUUUGGCACCUCGAUGUCGGCUCAUCACAUCCUGGGGCUGAAGUAGGUCCCAAGGGUAUGGCUGUUCGCCAUUUAAAGUGGUACGCGAGCUGGGUUUAGAACGUCGUGAGACAGUUCGGUCCCUAUCUGCCGUGGGCGCUGGAGAACUGAGGGGGGCUGCUCCUAGUACGAGAGGACCGGAGUGGACGCAUCACUGGUGUUCGGGUUGUCAUGCCAAUGGCACUGCCCGGUAGCUAAAUGCGGAAGAGAUAAGUGCUGAAAGCAUCUAAGCACGAAACUUGCCCCGAGAUGAGUUCUCCCUGACUCCUUGAGAGUCCUGAAGGAACGUUGAAGACGACGACGUUGAUAGGCCGGGUGUGUAAGCGCAGCGAUGCGUUGAGCUAACCGGUACUAAUGAACCGUGAGGCUUAACCUU
This 2904-nucleotide ribosomal RNA is filed under the name Escherichia coli. RNAcentral's name for it is "23S ribosomal RNA". It matches the Rfam family "Bacterial large subunit ribosomal RNA". The record is from RNAcentral. Lineage: Bacteria; Pseudomonadati; Pseudomonadota; Gammaproteobacteria; Enterobacterales; Enterobacteriaceae.